GAUGAACGCUAGCUACAGGCUUAACACAUGCAAGUCGAGGGGAAACGAUAUUGGAAGCUUGCUUCCGAUAGGCGUCGACCGGCGCACGGGUGAGUAACGCGUAUCCAACCUGCCCAUCACUUGGGGAUAACCUUGCGAAAGUAAGACUAAUACCCAAUGACGUCUCUAGAAGACAUCUGAAAGAGAUUAAAGAUUUAUCGGUGAUGGAUGGGGGAUGCGUCUGAUUAGCUUGUUGGCGGGGUAACGGCCCACCAAGGCGACGGAUCAGUAGGGGUUCUGAGAGGAAGGUCCCCCACAUUGGAACUGAGACACGGUCCAAAACUCCUACGGGAGGCAGCAGUGAGGAAUAUUGGUCAAUGGGCGAGAGCCUGAACCAGCCAAGUAGCGUGAAGGAUGACUGCCCUAUGGGUUGUAAACUUCUUUUAUAAAGG
Molecule: ribosomal RNA, 431 nt
Filed under: uncultured bacterium
Lineage: Bacteria
Description: bacterial SSU rRNA
Rfam family: Bacterial small subunit ribosomal RNA
Source: RNAcentral